GGUUAAGCGACUAAGCGUACACGGUGGAUGCCCUGGCAGUCAGAGGCGAUGAAGGACGUGCUAAUCUGCGAUAAGCGUCGGUAAGGUGAUAUGAACCGUUAUAACCGGCGAUUUCCGAAUGGGGAAACCCAGUGUGUUUCGACACACUAUCAUUAACUGAAUCCAUAGGUUAAUGAGGCGAACCGGGGAACUGAAACAUCUAAGUACCCCGAGGAAAAGAAAUCAACCGAGAUUCCCCCAGUAGCGGCGAGCGAACGGGGAGCAGCCCAGAGCCUGAAUCAGUGUGUGUGUUAGUGGAAGCGUCUGGAAAGGCGCGCGAUACAGGGUGACAGCCCCGUACACAAAAAUGCACAUGCUGUGAGCUCGAUGAGUAGGGCGGGACACGUGGUAUCCUGUCUGAAUAUGGGGGACCAUCCUCCAAGGCUAAAUACUCCUGACUGACCGAUAGUGAACCAGUACCGUGAGGGAAAGGCGAAAAGAACCCCGGCGAGGGGAGUGAAAAAGAACCUGAAACCGUGUACGUACAAGCAGUGGGAGCACGCUUAGGCGUGUGACUGCGUACCUUUGUAUAAUGGGUCAGCGACUUAUAUUCUGUAGCAAGGUUAACCGAAUAGGGGAGCCGAAGGGAAACCGAGUCUUAACUGGGCGUUAAGUUGCAGGGUAUAGACCCGAAACCCGGUGAUCUAGCCAUGGGCAGGUUGAAGGUUGGGUAACACUAACUGGAGGACCGAACCGACUAAUGUUGAAAAAUUAGCGGAUGACUUGUGGCUGGGGGUGAAAGGCCAAUCAAACCGGGAGAUAGCUGGUUCUCCCCGAAAGCUAUUUAGGUAGCGCCUCGUGAAUUCAUCUCCGGGGGUAGAGCACUGUUUCGGCAAGGGGGUCAUCCCGACUUACCAACCCGAUGCAAACUGCGAAUACCGGAGAAUGUUAUCACGGGAGACACACGGCGGGUGCUAACGUCCGUCGUGAAGAGGGAAACAACCCAGACCGCCAGCUAAGGUCCCAAAGUCAUGGUUAAGUGGGAAACGAUGUGGGAAGGCCCAGACAGCCAGGAUGUUGGCUUAGAAGCAGCCAUCAUUUAAAGAAAGCGUAAUAGCUCACUGGUCGAGUCGGCCUGCGCGGAAGAUGUAACGGGGCUAAACCAUGCACCGAAGCUGCGGCAGCGACGCUGAUGCGUUGUUGGGUAGGGGAGCGUUCUGUAAGCCUGCGAAGGUGUGCUGUGAGGCAUGCUGGAGGUAUCAGAAGUGCGAAUGCUGACAUAAGUAACGAUAAAGCGGGUGAAAAGCCCGCUCGCCGGAAGACCAAGGGUUCCUGUCCAACGUUAAUCGGGGCAGGGUGAGUCGACCCCUAAGGCGAGGCCGAAAGGCGUAGUCGAUGGGAAACAGGUUAAUAUUCCUGUACUUGGUGUUACUGCGAAGGGGGACGGAGAAGGCUAUGUUGGUAGGGCGACGGUUGUCCCGGUUUAAGCGUGUAGGCUGGUUUUCCAGGCAAAUCCGGAAAAUCAAGGCUGAGGCGUGAUGACGAGGCACUACGGUGCUGAAGCAACAAAUGCCCUGCUUCCAGGAAAAGCCUCUAAGCAUCAGGUAACAUCAAAUCGUACCCCAAACCGACACAGGUGGUCAGGUAGAGAAUACCAAGGCGCUUGAGAGAACUCGGGUGAAGGAACUAGGCAAAAUGGUGCCGUAACUUCGGGAGAAGGCACGCUGAUAUGUAGGUGAAGUCCCUUGCGGAUGGAGCUGAAAUCAGUCGAAGAUACCAGCUGGCUGCAACUGUUUAUUAAAAACACAGCACUGUGCAAACACGAAAGUGGACGUAUACGGUGUGACGCCUGCCCGGUGCCGGAAGGUUAAUUGAUGGGGUUAGCGCAAGCGAAGCUCUUGAUCGAAGCCCCGGUAAACGGCGGUACGUAACUAUAACGGUCCUAAGGUAGCGAAAUUCCUUGUCGGGUAAGUUCCGACCUGCACGAAUGGCGUAAUGAUGGUCAGGGCUGUCUCCACCCGAGACUCAGUGAAAUUGAACUCGCUGUGAAGAUGCAGUGUACCCGCGGCAAGACGGAAAGACCCCGUGAACCUUUACUAUAGCUUGACACUGAACAUUGAGCCUUGAUGUGUAGGAUAGGUGGGAGGCUUUGAAGUGUGGACGCCAGUCUGCAUGGAGCCGACCUUGAAAUACCACCCUUUAAUGUUUGAUGUUCUAACGUGGACCCGUGAUCCGGGUUGCGGACAGUGUCUGGUGGGUAGUUUGACUGGGGCGGUCUCCUCCUAAAGAGUAACGGAGGAGCACGAAGGUUGGCUAAUCCUGGUCGGACAUCAGGAGGUUAGUGCAAUGGCAUAAGCCAGCUUGACUGCGAGCGUGACGGCGCGAGCAGGUGCGAAAGCAGGUCAUAGUGAUCCGGUGGUUCUGAAUGGAAGGGCCAUCGCUCAACGGAUAAAAGGUACUCCGGGGAUAACAGGCUGAUACCGCCCAAGAGUUCAUAUCGACGGCGGUGUUUGGCACCUCGAUGUCGGCUCAUCACAUCCUGGGGCUGAAGUAGGUCCCAAGGGUAUGGCUGUUCGCCAUUUAAAGUGGUACGCGAGCUGGGUUUAGAACGUCGUGAGACAGUUCGGUCCCUAUCUGCCGUGGGCGCUGGAGAACUGAGGGGGCUGCUCCUAGUACGAGAGGACCGGAGUGGACGCAUCACUGGUGUUCGGGUUGUCAUGCCAAUGGCACUGCCCGGUAGCUAAAUGCGGAAGAGAUAAGUGCUGAAAGCAUCUAAGCACGAAACUUGCCCCGAGAUGAGUUCUCCCUGACUCCUUGAGAGUCCUGAAGGAACGUUGAAGACGACGACGUUGAUAGGCCGGGUGUGUAAGCGCAGCGAUGCGUUGAGCUAACCGGUACUAAUGAACCGUGAGGCUUAACCUU
Molecule: ribosomal RNA, 2901 nt
Filed under: Escherichia coli
Lineage: Bacteria; Pseudomonadati; Pseudomonadota; Gammaproteobacteria; Enterobacterales; Enterobacteriaceae
Description: 23S ribosomal RNA
Rfam family: Bacterial large subunit ribosomal RNA
Source: RNAcentral